AUUGAACGCUGGCGGCAUGCCUUACACAUGCAAGUCGAACGGCAGCACGGGAGCAAUCCUGGUGGCGAGUGGCGAACGGGUGAGUAAUAUAUCGGAACGUGCCCAGUCGUGGGGAUAACGUAGCGAAAGCUACGCUAAUACCGCAUACGAUCUAUGGAUGAAAGCGGGGGAUCGCAAGACCUCGCGCGAUUGGAGCGGCCGAUAUCAGAUUAGGUAGUUGGUGAGGUAAAGGCUCACCAAGCCGACGAUCUGUAGCUGGUCUGAGAGGACGACCAGCCACACUGGGACUGAGACACGGCCCAGACUCCUACGGGAGGCAGCAGUGGGGAAUAUUGGACAAUGGGCGAAAGCCUGAUCCAGCAAUGCCGCGUGAGUGAUGAAGGCCUUAGGUUGUAAGCUCUUUUACCCGAGAUGAUAAUGACAGUAUCGGGAGAAUAAGCUCCGGCUAACUCCGUGCCAGCAGCCG
This 466-nucleotide ribosomal RNA is filed under the name uncultured bacterium. RNAcentral's name for it is "bacterial SSU rRNA". It matches the Rfam family "Bacterial small subunit ribosomal RNA", at positions 30 to 517 of the family's 1533-position model. The record is from RNAcentral.